GUGAGGAAUAUUGGUCAAUGGGCGUAAGCCUGACGCAGCAACGCCGCGUGAUUGAUUAAGCCCUUCGGGGUGUAAAGAUCUGUCAGUGGGGACGAAACUUGACGGUACCCACAGAGGAAGCACCGGCUAACUCCGUGCCAGCAGCCGCGGUAAUACGGAGGGUGCAAGCGUUGUCCGGAAUCAUUGGGCGUAAAGAGUUCGUAGGUGGCAUAUUAAGUCUGGUGUUAAAUGCAGAAGCUCAACUUCUGUUCGGCACUGGAUACUGGUAAGCUUGAAUGCGGUAGAGGUAAAGGGAAUUCCUGGUGUAGCGGUGAAAUGCGUAGAUAUCAGGAGGAACAUCGGUGGCGUAAGCGCUUUACUGGGCCGUAAUUGACACUGAGGAACGAAAGCCGGGGUAGCAAAUGGG
Molecule: ribosomal RNA, 406 nt
Filed under: uncultured bacterium
Lineage: Bacteria
Description: bacterial SSU rRNA
Rfam family: Bacterial small subunit ribosomal RNA
Source: RNAcentral